CUACGGGAGGCAGCAGUGGGGAAUAUUGCACAAUGGAGGAAACUCUGAUGCAGCAACGCCGCGUGGAGGAUGACACCUUUCGGAGCGUAAACUCCUUUUAUAUAGGAAGAAGAUGACGGUACUAUAUGAAUAAGCGCCGGCUAACUCCGUGCCAGCAGCCGCGGUAAUACGGAGGGCGCAAGCGUUACUCGGAAUCACUGGGCGUAAAGAGCGUGUAGGCGGAUUAAAAAGUCAGAAGUGAAAUCCUAUAGCUUAACUAUAGAACUGCUUCUGAAACUCUUAAUCUAGAAUAUGGGAGAGGUAGAUGGAAUUUCUGGUGUAGGGGUAAAAUCCGUAGAGAUCAGAAGGAAUACCGAUUGCGAAGGCGAUCUACUAGAACAUUAUUGACGCUGAGACGCGAAAGCGUGGGGAGCAAACAGGAUUAGAUACCCUGGUAGUC
Molecule: ribosomal RNA, 439 nt
Filed under: uncultured bacterium
Lineage: Bacteria
Description: partial 16S ribosomal RNA
Rfam family: Bacterial small subunit ribosomal RNA
Source: RNAcentral